RNAcentral lists this unclassified non-coding RNA (588 nucleotides) under Carex curvula. Its description in RNAcentral is "partial external transcribed spacer 1". Lineage: Eukaryota; Viridiplantae; Streptophyta; Magnoliopsida; Poales; Cyperaceae. The record is from RNAcentral.
UUCUGGACUUGCUCCGCAUGUCGGGCUCCCUGCACUUUUGGUGCGGCCAACCGAACAUGGGGCUGUCUCUUCACUCUCCCUCCCGUCAUGUAAAAUGUCGUGGUUGGGAUGCUCGGGAUCGGUUGCCUGUGCGGUUCUACCCUCUCGGGGGUAGCGAAGUCGUCCCUGGAUGGAUAUUUGCUUGCCCUCCUGACACUCUGUGGUCGUUCGGGCGGCCGAAAUGCGGGCAAAAUCCUUGUGUUGGUGCAUGGUCGAAUGCCUUGCUGCCAUCACUUGUGUUUUAGCCGGCUCUCACGGAUGCGGUGCCUAGUGCUAGCUCUGCGGGGCUUUUGCCCUGCAGACUUCGGGAGGUCCCUUGUACGAAUCAUUGCUCUUAUACGCCGUUUGUCGUGUCGGUGACGACACGCAGAUCGUGUUCUGCCGUGCCGUUGUUAACGACACGUCAGAACAAAGUGUCCGGAGCGUGCUCGCGUGCAKGGGGAAUGCCUCCCGUUCGUAUGAGCAGCGAUUUCCGGUUUGCGUCGUGCGAAGGCCCGCCCGYCYGGGUCGGUGCCGGAGCUGACGYGCCGGCUCUCGUUUAAGACGUGC